This 4716-nucleotide long non-coding RNA is filed under the name Capsicum annuum. Its description in RNAcentral is "long non-coding RNA (CANN_LNC002830)". Lineage: Eukaryota; Viridiplantae; Streptophyta; Magnoliopsida; Solanales; Solanaceae. The record is from RNAcentral.
CAACUUCCCUCAACUUCCCGCCAAUUUUUCUCCCACAUCCUUUCACUAUCCCCAACUUCCACACACACAACACAAGAAGCAUGCGCACACAUGCACUAUAAAAAAACACACACACGGACACUUAGAGAGAGGGAGACAAAACAAAAAGUUAAAAGAAAAAGGAAACAACAUCAAAAGAAGAGGACAACCAGAAAGAAAAGAAAGAAAAACAAAGUGAGAAAAGGUAGAAAGGGAAAAAGAAAAAGAAAGUUAUAGUUUGAGCUUAGACUUCCGUUUGAGUUAUCGGUGACGUCGUUCUUGCUUCGAUACUUGGGGUUUAAUUUGUCAUACAGGUUUUUAUCCUAUCUUGUACUAUUAUUUUAUAAGUUUUCGUGAAUCAAAAUGUGAAUGAAAUUAAUUAAAUACCUUCAUGUAUUAUUUAGCAUGUAAACUUAAUUAUUUAAACGUGAGGUUUUGGAUAUGAUUGUGAAUUUAGUAAUCAUAAUAUUUUUUUAGAUGUGUAGUUGUAUUCUAAACCACGACUUUGGAUUCGUGAAUGCAUGCAUGCAAAAAGAUUUUAAAAAGGUUGAAAAAUAACAUGCACAUACAACACUUCUAUAUAUAUUUUGCAUACACACACCGAAACGGACACAAAAAAAAACACAAAGGGAAGGAACAUUUAGGAGAAAAAAACAUACGGGGAGAAAACCAAAAAAGAAGACACUAAGCAAAUGCUAGUCUUUUACGUACAUAACCAAGUUAGUACUAGUAGUGUUUAUGUAUGUAUAUGUAAUUUGAGAGCUAUAGAUGUCGUAGGUUGUGAAGACAAUCAUUUUGUGUGUAGGCUGAAGUUUGAUCACAUUAUCAUACCCUAAAUGCUUUUGUUUAAUGAAAAAUUAUAGUCAAAAAAUGUAAUUGUUUUACUUUAUCAUGUCCGCAUAUCUUCAAUUAUUUUUUUUAGUCAUGUAUUUUAGUUCAAUUAAAUUAUCAUUAUAAUGAUAUGUUUAGACCUUGUUAAGUGAAUGAAGUUGAAUCCAUAUCUAAUUUAUUUUUUUUCAUUAUUGUUUUUUGUUAAGAAAAAUAAUAAGGAGAUUUUUAUUUGAACAAUUAGUCAGUGUUUAGUAAGGACACAACAAAAUUAUUGUAUUAGUGUGUUCAAGUAUGAAUUUAGUUUCAAGAAUAAUAAAAAAAAUCAAGAGAUAUACCGUAUAUCUUUUUGUUAAAGAAAAAAAAGAUAAUUUUUGAUACAAUAAUAUCUCUGUCUUUUUGUUUACUAUUUUUUGUAGUCUCAUGUUUAAAAAAUCAGCCAUGGGAAUUAAAAAUAUAACUAAUGAGCAUAUCAUUUUUAUUCUCACUUGCUUUUUACUGUUUCGAUCCAUAUUGUCGUAAUAUUUAGAUAUUUAUUGACUAAUGACUUAAUUGCAUUAAUUUGAUGAUAGAUUGUGUGUUUUGAUAUUCUAACACUUUGAACUUACUUAAGCUUGGACGAUCAUUUAGGGUUUCAUCUAUUAAUUUGUGUGAAAUUUGAGUGAGAUAGGUUGUAAAUGUACUUUAGACCUGUCGACAUUAAAAAAGAAAAGAUAGAAAAAAAAUUAUAAAGGAGCGAACCUGUAAGAGAAUGAUUUAAGUUCUUAACCUCUAAAAAUUAUAGUUUAAUACAAGUGAAUGUUAACUAUGAAGUUUGAGAGCCCUGCUACGGACUAUUCAUUAUAAUAAAAUUAACAUAUCAUUUCAAAGCCGAUUUGAUUGGGAUGGGUAAACUUUAAACAUGUUAGAUCCUUAUAGACUUGGGAAAGAUGGGAACGAUCCAUAAAUGCAUCAAAGGCGUGAGAAAUAUAUCAAAACUCGUGAAAAGUCCGAAAAGUACUGCUACUAAUAAGCCAUACAUUAACAUAAUAAGAUAGUUUUAGAUAUAUUCAAAAUAAAUUAAAGCCAGGAUAGAAGUCACUUUUAGGUUCCCAAAAAUAGUUUCAGAAUCAGGCAAUCAAUAGUUAGGCAGAACAAUCACCGAAAUACAUUUUCUCAAUCAAAAUUGACUGUAAAUCAGCAAAACAAUUCAAAUAAUAACAAAAAAAUAUAUUAACAUCAUACAAACAAACAAAACGUGAUCUGAGAAUCGAAAAUAAAUGCCCAAGCAUAUAAAUAAAUGUCGAAAUUCAUAGAGUUUGCCAAAAAUUAUACAACUUUGGCUAAAUAAUAUCAAAAUUUAUAUUUAAUAAAUAUAUUAAGACGACGGAGAUGAGUAGCGGUGUUACUUCAACAACUUUCGUUUGAGAAACAACAAAAUCUAAGAUCCGUUCAGAUCUGCCCAUUUUCCAACGAGGCAGUGUUUGUGGUAUUGUUCGCUGGUCACCGGUGGUCAGAUCCGGCGAAGACUAUGGGAAGAAGGGGAAAGAAAAAGGGGUGAUAGCGAUUGUUGAUUUUUGAUGAUGAAGCUUUGGCAGUGGAGGCUAUGAUAGUUUGCUGUUGGUAUUAGUGGCUGCCGGCUGUCCGGUGGUCAAACCCGGCGGCAAUUGUGAGUGGGGUUUCACUGGUGGUUGGUUAGGGUGGCUGUCGGUGACUGCUGUUGGCAGCAGCAUCGUCUGGAAGUACUGGUGGUCGCUGGCAGGACAGGAGAGGAGGAAGGGAGUUGGUUGUCUUAUGGACUGCUCCGGCAGCGGCGACAAGUGAAGAAGAUAAGAGAGAAAGAGAAAAAUAUAUGGCUCUUUUCCUGUGUAUGUGUAGUGUAUUUUGUGUAUUUAUUGUGUGUAUGUGUGUUGGGUAUUUAAUUUUUUUAAUCAAAUCUACACUCACCAAACAUAUCCCUUAGAUUUAGGAAAGUAGACGUGAAAAAGUCAAAAGUGAAGGAAAUAGGAAAAGAAAAUUUUAAAAAAAGAAUGAAGAGAGAUGAAUAAAAAUAUGAUAUUGUUUGUGUGUGUAUUGGAUUUGGAUGUGUGGGUGUGAAUUGUAUCUUACAAAAUAUAAAUCCCCCACCAUUUAUUUAUAAUAAAAAACAUUUUUUCUACUACUCAAAAAUAAAAAGAUGUCCUUUUUCUUACAAUGGCACACUCUUUGGUCCUUAGAAUAUUGAUCAAAGGAUUUUCAUCUUUUGACCAACGGGUAAAAUUAUUGUUUAAAGGGUAGUGUAAUUGAGUUGCCAUUGUCAGAUGUGACAAGACAUUAUUGUGUGGUCAUUGUCAGAUGAGAUAAGACACUGAAUCAUUCUUGUACUGUGUAUUGAAAUAACUGAUCCGACUCAAUUUUUACGGAUUGUAAUAAAUGUAAAAAAAAUGCAUGUAUUGAUAUGUAAUUACAGAAAAAUGUAAAAAUACUGAAAGUAUAAAAAAUGUAAUUACAUUUAAAAUACUAUAAAAAUGUGACGUCUUGUCGUGCACGUGUUCAGAUGAUUGUAAAAUGUUAAAAACAAUAAUGAAUUGAUAAAAAUUCUAAUAUAAGGAGGAUUAUUAAUGAAUUAUGAAAAGUUAAAAUGUGACAAGAAAUUGAUAAAAAUCCUAAAGUAAGGAUGAUUAUCAUUAAUUUUUCAACAAUUAUAAAAAGGAUGUGAAAAUUGUAUUUUGUACCCUUUAAUGAUCAAGAAGCCCGAAGACGUUAAUUUUAAGCACGAAAAGUAAAAAUUGGGUAUCAACAGUUGCCCUUUUUUGUUUGAGGAUGAUGUAGAAGUCUUCAAAUGAAAAUGUUGACGUGUAGCCAAUUUUGUUCGACAUAAAAUAUUUUUUUGAAGAAAAUUCGAUCGAACUCUAAUUUAGAAUUACCUACAUACCUCAAAUUAUAUGAAGAUCAGGUCGGGUAUAGUACAAAGGAAUAGGCAAAUUGCUUUUUGCCUUGUUAUUAGGGGAAAAUGAUUAUGUCGAAUGAUUAUUGAGAGAAAGAUUGUUUGGGAAUGAAAGUUCUCACAUAUUUCAAAUGCUUCUUUUGAAAUUACCCUAGUAUUGAGCUGUGAGAUGCAAGAUUGUGUACUUGCUAGGAAGAAAGAAUGACUAUUGGGUUGUGAUGACCGAACCUUGCAUAUAGCUUCCUACAUAUCUCGAGUGUCAUGAGAAUUGGGUCAAUGUAGUUCGAGAAUGAGAAAAUAAAAUUUUUUGGGACGGUUCUCAAAAUUUGCCUUAGUGUAUGACAUAUGAGAUUUGAAAAAAUCUGUUGUUAUUCUGAAUUGUAUUUUUUGUUUAAAAGAUACAUGAUGUCUUCGAUUGUCUACAGAGAAUUGAAGAUGAAUGAAGCCUUCGAUUAUUUACGGAGACUUGGAAAUGAAUGUUAUCUCUGAUUAUUUGUGGAGACUUAUAUGAUGAAUGACGCCUCCGAUUAUUUACGGAGACUUACGGAUGAAUGUUAUCUUUGAUAGUUUAAGGGGACUUUCGUGAUGAAUAAAAGAUGUCUUCGGUUGUCUGAAGACUGGUGUAAUAAAUAAAAUAUGGCUUCAAUUGUCUCAAGACUAUGUGAUAAAUGAAAGAUGUCUCCGAUUGUUUGAAGACUGAUAUGAUAAAUGAAAUUAUGGCUUCAAUUGUCUAUGAAGACUAUGUAAUGAAUAAAAGAUGUCUCCAAUUGUAUAUAAGACUGGUGCUGAUUAUCAUCUUCAACUGUCUACGGAGACUGAUAUUGAAUGAUGAUGUCUUUGAUUUUUUAUGAAGACUUGAUGCAUAACACCUCCAGUUGUCUAUAGGUUGGUGUUGAUUGUGGUCUCUAAUUAUCCACAAAGACUGAUAUUGAAUGAUGAUGUAUUUGAUUGUAUAUGAAAAUUUG